This 552-nucleotide ribosomal RNA is filed under the name uncultured Anaeromyxobacter sp. Its description in RNAcentral is "bacterial SSU rRNA". It matches the Rfam family "Bacterial small subunit ribosomal RNA", at positions 355 to 897 of the family's 1533-position model. The record is from RNAcentral. Lineage: Bacteria; Pseudomonadati; Myxococcota; Myxococcia; Myxococcales; Anaeromyxobacteraceae.
UGGGGAAUCUUGCGCAAUGGGCGAAAGCCUGACGCAGCAACGCCGCGUGUGUGAUGAAGGUCUUCGGAUCGUAAAGCACUGUCGCGAGGGACGAAUAAGGGGCGGGUUAACAUCCCGUUCCGAUGACGGUACCUCGAAAGGAAGCACCGGCUAACUCUGUGCCAGCAGCCGCGGUAAUACAGAGGGUGCAAGCGUUGUUCGGAAUUAUUGGGCGUAAAGCGCGUGUAGGCGGCCUAGCAAGUUGGGUGUGAAAGCCCUCGGCUUAACCGAGGAAGUGCGCCCAAAACUACGAGGCUUGAGUGCCGGAGAGGGUGGCGGAAUUCCCGGUGUAGAGGUGAAAUUCGUAGAUAUCGGGAGGAACACCAGUGGCGAAGGCGGCCACCUGGACGGUAACUGACGCUGAGACGCGAAAGCGUGGGGAGCAAACAGGAUUAGAUACCCUGGUAGUCCACGCUGUAAACGAUGAGCGCUAGGUGUUGUGGGUGUUGACCCCCGCAGUGCCGCAGCUAACGCAUUAAGCGCUCCGCCUGGGAAGUACGGCCGCAAGGCUAA